This 406-nucleotide ribosomal RNA is filed under the name uncultured bacterium. Its description in RNAcentral is "partial 16S ribosomal RNA". It matches the Rfam family "Bacterial small subunit ribosomal RNA", at positions 28 to 526 of the family's 1533-position model. The record is from RNAcentral.
GACGAACGCUGGCGGCAGGCCUAACACAUGCAAGUCGAACGAGUGGCGGACGGGUGAGUAAUGUCUGGGAACCUGCCCGAUGGAGGGGGAUAACUACUGGAAACGGUAGCUAAUACCGCAUACCAUCGGAUGAUCCCAGUUGGGAUUAGCUAGUAGGUGGGGUAACGGUUCACCUAGGCGACGAUCCCUAGCUGGUCUGAGAGGAUGAUCAGCCACACGGGAACUGUGACACGGUCCAGACUCCUACGGGAGGCAGCAGUGGGGAAUAUUGCACAAUGGGCGCAAGCCUGAGGCAGCCGUGCCGCGUGUAUGAAGAAGGCCUUCGGGUUGUAAAGUACUUUCAGCGAGGAGGCGUUACUCGCAGAAGAAGCACCGGCUAACUCCGUGCCAGCAGCCGCGGUAAUUC